Molecule: long non-coding RNA, 635 nt
Organism: Neodiprion virginianus
Lineage: Eukaryota; Metazoa; Arthropoda; Insecta; Hymenoptera; Diprionidae
Exons: 4
Source: RefSeq, a predicted model, not a curated record
CUAGCCGAAUUCCUCAGUCUGGAAACAACCGCGCAGCAGAGCGGACGUGUGAGAAUCGCGCUCAGCAGAUUUCGAGUACAGGGUUCUCUACCUCCUGGAUCCUGCGCUCUGGGUUCGCUUCCUGGUGCUACUCGAGUUUCAGGACAAGCGCUCCGUAGUUUCUGCGCUCCAGGUCCGCUACCUGGUGAAACUCGACUUCAGGGACAAGUGCUCCGUAGUUUCGGCGCUCCAGGCCCGCUACCUGGUGAAACUCGACUUUGGGGCAAGAGGUGGACGAGGAGGAGAAGGAGGAAGAGGACGAGGAAGACGAGGAUUUCUGCACAUUACCACCGCUAACCAUCUCGGGUUAGCGGUGGUCGUUGGAGGUGGACUUGGAGGAGGACGAGGAAGACGGGGAGAACAAGGUGGACGAGGAGGACAAGGAUUUGUGCUCGUAUUCGAGGUAUAACCCGAGAUGGUUAGCGGUGGUCGUUCAAGGUGGCUGGGGGUUGUUUCGGGUGAUCGAGGUGGACGAGGAGGAGAACGAGGAAGACGAGGCGAACAAGGUAGAUGAGGAUGACGAGGAUUUGUGCACCGUACAACCCGAGGUAGUUAUCGGUGGUUGUUCGAGGUGGUUGGCGAUUGUUGGAGGUGGU